RNAcentral lists this ribosomal RNA (253 nucleotides) under uncultured prokaryote. RNAcentral's name for it is "partial 16S ribosomal RNA". It matches the Rfam family "Bacterial small subunit ribosomal RNA", at positions 524 to 776 of the family's 1533-position model. The record is from RNAcentral.
UACGAAGGGGGCUAGCGUUGCUCGGAAUUACUGGGCGUAAAGCGCACGUAGGCGGCUUCUUAAGUCGGGGGUGAAAUCCUGGAGCUCAACUCCAGAACUGCCUUCGAUACUGGGAAGCUCGAGUUCGGGAGAGGUGAGUGGAACUGCGAGUGUAGAGGUGAAAUUCGUAGAUAUCCGCAAGAACACCAGUGGCGAAGGCGGCUCGCUGGCCCGAUACUGACGCUGAGGUGCGAAAGCCAGGGGAGCAAACGGG